This 265-nucleotide unclassified non-coding RNA is filed under the name uncultured Ctenomyces. RNAcentral's name for it is "sequence contains ITS2". The stretch from base 1 to 52 matches the Rfam family "5.8S ribosomal RNA", at positions 103 to 154 of the family's 154-position model. Lineage: Eukaryota; Fungi; Ascomycota; Eurotiomycetes; Onygenales; Arthrodermataceae. The record is from RNAcentral.
AACGCACAUUGCGCCCUCUGGUAUUCCGGGGGGCAUGCCUGUUCGAGCGUCAUUUCAACCUUCAAGCCCGGCUUGUGUGAUGGGUGACCGUCCCUCCUCUCGGCGGGACGCGCCCGAAAUGCAGUGGCUAGACCGCGAUUCCGGCGUCUGAGCGAAUGGGAUAACCACCGCUUCUAGAACCGGCCGGCCCUGGCCCCAAAAACAUCGAUCCUCGCGGAUCACCCAGGUUGACCUCGGAUCAGGUAGGGAUACCCGCUGAACUUAA